UCCGUUCCCGGCAUGUCCUAAAGAAUGU
RNAcentral lists this non-coding RNA (28 nucleotides) under Rattus norvegicus (Norway rat). Lineage: Eukaryota; Metazoa; Chordata; Mammalia; Rodentia; Muridae. The record is from RNAcentral.